RNAcentral lists this ribosomal RNA (253 nucleotides) under uncultured bacterium. RNAcentral's name for it is "partial 16S ribosomal RNA". It matches the Rfam family "Bacterial small subunit ribosomal RNA", at positions 524 to 776 of the family's 1533-position model. The record is from RNAcentral.
UACGUAGGGUGCAAGCGUUGUCCGGAAUUAUUGGGCGUAAAGAGCUCGUAGGCGGUCUGUCGCGUCGGCUGUGAAAACCCGGGGCUCAACCCCGGGCCUGCAGUCGAUACGGGCAGACUAGAGUGCGGUAGGGGAGACUGGAAUUCCUGGUGUAGCGGUGGAAUGCGUAGAGAUCCGGAAGAACACCGGUGGCGAAGGCGGUCUGCUGGGCAGUUGCUGACACUGAGGCGCGACAGCGUGGGGAGCAAACAGG